GAGGACGAAUCAGAGGACGAAGACGAGGAGGAGGAAAACGGAGAGGAAGAAAAUGGAGAAGAAGAGAACGGAAACGCCGAAGAAAGCGCGGAAAAAGAGAACGCAGACCAGGAAAACGCGCAGAACCAACGGAAAGCCGGUAGCAUCCGCAAGAUAUUCGAUAACCUCAGCACCGUCGAGGAAGUGUCUGAAGAGUCCUCCGAAAACGGGCCGUUUUCGUCUCCCCCUAAGCAGGAAAUCAGUUAUCCCCCGGUUCCAUUAUACCCCCUCAAUAUCUAGCCGCUCCAAACCAUUUGAGACCCCCUCCACCACCGCAGAGGAUAGACCCCUCGGUUUUCCCUAACCAACGACGAACCCAUUCCUCCAGCCGGUGGCUCCACUGUGUCCCUGCUGUCGACUCCACGGUGGACCGUCCGAUCCAAGGGAUUCCGAUCAAGUCCAUCCGCAGAAUGGACCCGUCCGAGUCGAGGGUCCAACGCUGAGGACUGGACCCGAUGUUGGAGUUUACUCGGAUGGUUCUCAGACUGAUUGCCUGGAUAACUGCACGAGUUUGGAUCAUCGGCUGCACCCCUUGCAGCCGAGUUAUAGUCAUUUUCCAUUGCCUUGUGAUGCAAUUAACGGAGUCAUCCAGGAGGUCAAAUAUUCCACGCUGCCUACCCGGAGUCAAACUCCUAACACUCAGGUGCAAGGUGAAAUUGUGACGACCAUCUUGACGCGACGGCAAUCAUUUCAAGCAAAAGUGGAUCCACAAACGGGAGCAGGAGUCACAGAAGUGAGACACUAUGACGCAAAUUCAUUCCAAUGCACACCCUUCUCCGAGUCAGAAAGCACACAAUUCCUCCGUCUGAACUCGGUUCAGCCAUUCACUCUCACUUUCCAGACACAGCAGUUUCCUGAAAUCACGGUUCAAGAGGUGAUCGACGAGCUGCUGGGUCAGUUUUCGCCGGAGCUGCAGUCGUCAUUGAAAGGCGUGAGGAUGGUGAACGGAAGUUGUUUCGUGAGUUUGGGGCGCCAGGCGGACUUGGACCGGGUCCUCUCGUCAGGCGUCUCGAUCAAGGGCAAGACUGUGGAGCUGAGCGAUGCAUCCAUCGGCACCAGCGUCAUUUGUUUAUCGGGGGUCCCCCAUCACAUUCCAGACCAGACAGUCGAUAAAGUCUUGUCGAAAUACGGAUGUCUAGUUGGCCAGGUGGAGCGGCGACUUUACAAAGGCGUGGACAUCGGUGAGCGCUUCGCUCGGCUCCGGGCGCGGCUGGCCGUCCCGCGGUUCCUGUCCAUCUCCGGGCACACCGUCAAAAUCCGAGUCCUCCACGACGACGAGGUCAACAACCUGAGCAUAUCCCGCAGGAGAUCCUUCCGCUCCCAACUCAACAUCAGACUCACGCUCCCGACGUCGGACAACACGACCGACUCCUCCACCAACGUCAACGACUCCCAGCCGUCGCUCUCCGACAGAACCGUCCCGCAAAUCCACCUCACACCCCCGAUCCCACCCUUACCGGGCGAGGCAGCGGAGAAGCCCGUCAUCUCCCCUCCGUUCGGUCACUACAACCCCUUCUGCGACGUCACGCAGAACUUCGCCCCCUCGACCGAGAGUCUAGAGAACAAGACCAACUCCUCAAGAAACACUCACCAUUCCCUCCCCGACUUCGUAGCGGUGUCGUCCUCGGACCAGCACUUCUUUUACCCCGCCUCCAGUGGGGUCGUGUCCGCACCCGGGACUCUAACCGGCAAGACGAAGGAGCCAGACCUGAAAACGGGUCAGUCGAAUUGCUUCCAGUUCCCGACGGUGGCCGGGACUUCGGAAACGGGGAACCAAAGCCCUCCGAGCAGCGUGGACAAGAAGACUUGCAGCUCGGACAAGGACUUGGACUCGGAGAAGGAGAAGAAGGGCGAGAAAGGGAAGAAGAAGGGGAAGAAAGGCAAGCUUGCAAAACAGUCCAAGUUGGCGGAGAGGAAGUCAGGGCCGCAAGUUAGCACGGAGUGCUCGCAGAGCUCUUCCUCUGGCCAGGACUCGCCGAGCAAGAACCGGCGGCAGCUCUCGGUGAAUUUCAAGAGGGACGGGGUGCCGGGCGGUGUUGGGGUUCCACUCCGGGGACACUCGCCGAUCUUCCGGGCGGCGUCGUUCGAACGCCCCAGGGUGGGCCUCGAGCGGGACACCGCCGCGGAUAUGGGCGGCAAUCUCAGUGAGUUCGAGCGGAGUAACAGCGAGACGAGCAGUCGCUUCGGCAGCUCGAACGCGCCAGGAAGAUGAGCUCGACCGGUCGAGAGAAGGCCAAAGUCCCUUGGUGUGGCUGUUGGGGUAACGGGUGCUGCUGACCACCCUUUAUUUCUCUACUUUCUUAACGGAAAUGCAUGAGUUUAUUGGACUCUUUCAGUCGCAGAGUUAAUUUUUGUGAGUAAUGAGAGAGAAAAGACAAUUCUGGGACCAAGCACGGUGGCACAGCGUCGACUUCAGGUCAUACGACUGCUCGGGGUACUGAUAAGGAAUUUUUUGGAAAUUUUGUCAAUCAAAGCAACGUUUUAUGAAAAUCCGGCACAAUUGGAAACGCAUGGGGAAGAUGGAAAAGUAGAGGAAAUACAGUGCACCUUCAUUUAGCAGGAUGUCGAUACGGCUCAAGUGUAAAAAUUCAUGUACUUCUGAUUGCGAUGUUGCAAAGUUCCGCUCGUCCUCUACAUAUUCUUGGAAGGAAACUUUAUAAGCAGAAGUCUCUCUUUAACUUCAACUUCUCUGUAAAUUUUCCUCACUCAAUGGUAAAUUUCCAAAAUAUAUCUAUUUUGGUUAGUUUUCUUUAAGGAAAACAUGAGUCAUAAUCGGAGAUAUUUACGACACUGGUAAAAAAAACACAUUGGAUCUAGAGUCCAGACUCUUAAAAACAUUGACAAGAAAAAGGACUCUUGAUUCAAUCAGAUUUAAGCUUAAACCAAGAACCAAGCAUCUUAAUUUGAGCGGAUUUCCUUUUGAUUUAAGCUUAAAUCUGAUUGAAUCAAGAGUCCUUUUCUCGUCAAUGUUUUCAAGAGUCCGGACUCGAGACCCAAUGUGUUUUUUUACCAGUGGUGUCUUCAUUGAGGAAGGAUAACGCAUGCGAACGUAACCGGCGCGGUUUGACACUAAGCAGGGCCGGAUUAAGGGGGUGGCCACAUGGGCCGCAGCCCAUGGCGGCAAAUUUAGGGGGCGGCAAAUUUUGCAAUUUUUAUAAAUGUAGGUAUGAAAAAAAUCGGAUUCAGAAAAACAAAUUAUCAAUGAGAAAAGGGUACAAAAUCUCUCUUUCCUGAGAGAAUAGUAAUUUCUAAUUUUGUCGUUUUUCGGUGAUACAAGAGACAGCAUCUUUAAUUAGUCGAGUCAAGAGAGAGACUAAACACGCAAUUUGUCCUGGAGCUCAGCGCAGAGAGGAAUGAUGACGAUGAAAAGGCCAAGCCUCGGCGCGGCGGUCGGCAUGUAACACAUGUUGGCGCCUACAAGACUGCAUGAAUACUUCACCCAUUGCGCCAAACACAGUGCGGUCAGGAGCAGUUGGCGUGAAACGCAUAACGCCUACAAGACUGCAGGAAUACUUCACGCAUUGCGCCAAAUACAGUGCGAUCAGCGCGGCGCAGCGGCGGAAGUUAAAAUUAUUAAACGAAAUUUAUGUUCGUUCUUUCAUAAUUUUUUGGUUCAUUUCUUAUGAAUGGAGGACCUUGUCCACACAAUGAUAGGUUUAUGGAACUUAACUUUUGCUAGUAGUGUUGACAGGGCUUUCGCAAAAAAUGUAUCCAACACGAGUAGGUAAACGCGUCUUAAGCACCCUCCCCCUCCGGCACGUUCACUUGAUGUUUUUAUUCAUGUUUCAAAACGAAUGAGAAAGGGGCGGCAAAAUACAGGCGGCCCAUGGGCGGCAAGUAGGUAAAUCCGGCCCUGACACUAAGUGCUUCACUUUGAUCGUGAAAAAGCCAAUUCAAUUUAAAAUUUCAAUUGUUUUUCAAUGUCAACGAUGAAAAUGGAAAAAUGCGUACCUCGGUUGUGUUGAGGAGACCGAAACAACAUCAUGGAUUGAAAUAUUCACAGAAUUUUCUUGCUAUAGAGAAAACAAAUCACCGAAGUUUUCAAGGAAUGACGCACAGUAGGUAGUUUUCCACGCAGAAAAUAAAGUAUGACGAGAAAUCUGCAACAUCGCAAAUUUAGAUACGCACUCCUGCUGUAUCACCAUCGACACGAACGUCUAUCCAAUAAACUCGAAAAUGGUGGACCAUAAUAAUUGAAGGGCUUGGAGGACAAGGCGCAUAAGUACAGCUUUUUAAAAAAUUGAAAUAUUAAUGAUUUCAAGUAAAACUAGUCUAAAUGCAUAUUCUAUGAAAAAUUCGCUCCCAAAUUCUAAUUUUUAAGCAUCAAAAAGUCAGUUUGAACUUUCUUUCCCCCACAAGGAUUCAUGAAAUUUCGAACUUCGAACACGGAUUCCUCGAAAUAGCAAAAACUGCACUAUAUAUGCGCCUUGUCCUCCAAGUCCCUCUAUUCCAGGUUGCAUCAAACGUUACCAGAAGUCUGCGAUCGUGCAGAGAGUCAGUGCGCCUUCAUUUUAGAGUACGCAACAUGGCCAUCCCCUGCGCACGAAUAGUUACAUCCUGCAGGCGUUGUUCUGGACUUGCCAAUUAUGCGUUCAGCGACUGAGAUACAGGCACGCAGGGCACUCGCAUUCCCAUUCCCUUCUUCUUUCAUCAAGAUCCAAAAAUUCUAAACUGAUUAAGGGAACAUUAAAAGACGCCUUAGAUAAAUUUCGUAUUCAUCAAUAAUCUUCUACAAACUGAGAAAGUUCUGACCAGGAACCUGAUCAACACGACGAUCUGUUCUAUUUAUAGUACUUACUGUAGUCUCCUGUGGUUCUGAUUCAUAUACCCUUACCAACCACCAGAAAUGAUGCCUUGACCAUUUUCAAUGUUACUCAUUAAGUGAAUUGAAAAAUUAUGAUGUUAAAAAGACGUUUAUAUAGUACAAAAAAUAUGCCUGCUUAAGAAGAACAGGAACCCUAAAUUACUGAGAGAGAACUAAUUUCCUCAGGUUCUUUAAUGAAGACUAUUACCUACCUAGGUAAUGCAGACCAAUUCUACAUCGAAAUAAUAUGACACCCUAAACAGUUAAGAACCUCUUUAUUGUAGCUAGGUACCUACUGGAAGUAAAGCUUUUAACUUUGAAAACUACUCCCAUUGAAACUUUUGAUAUGAAUCCUUGCUUUCACCUGAGAAAAUUUGUAGCAGCAUUUCUGGAAAAAGAGAAAGGAAAGAAAAUGUUGAAUUAUAACAAAUGAAUAACAUCAUCACUAAGUAAGAGCUUCUUUGAUACAUGCACUCUUUUUCAUAUUAAUUUUCCAUUCACUUGGAUCGAAUUCAGUAAGUAGAAGGUAACCAAAGUGAUUAUAGUUUUGUCGACAUUGUGCAACACUUCCUCUGGUUAGAAUAAAAUUAAUUGCAUGCACUUAUGAUAAAUUUUACGGAAAUUUUUUUUUCUUAAAUUGACAGUUCUUAGCAGAAAUACCAAAAUAAUUUGAGUUUUAAGGUAUUUUUAGAUAAAAUUCAAGUUGCACAAUUUUUACAACAUUGUAACUGCGUUGGUUCCCUCCUGCUUAAUUUGUUCCACUAGAAGUAAUGUCAUUUCUUACAAAGUAGGCAAACCGUAAUAAUAAGUUGCAUUUGGACGAUACUGUGCUAAAAAUGUUACCUAUCUCCAACAAACUCCAUAAUACUGUAAAGAGCAUUGUUUUGCUGGAUGGAGCGCAUUUAAUGGGAGAACAUGCACACCUGUUCUUAUAUAUUUAUAAAUUAGCCAAUUUUGUAUACCUGAUCAUAAUUCAUAUUUUACAUGAUAAAUAUUUUGAUACACGCGCCCAUUUUCUGGUAAUUAGCUACUGUCUGUUAUUAGAAACAAAAUAAAAUUUUGUUGAAUUUUGUUUACAAAAAUUGUUCUCAUUUAAACUCUCAUGGGUGGACGAUGAGAGAGUUUUAUGCGUCAAUACCCACC
Molecule: long non-coding RNA, 5986 nt
Filed under: Bemisia tabaci
Lineage: Eukaryota; Metazoa; Arthropoda; Insecta; Hemiptera; Aleyrodidae
Description: lncRNA ENSSSA3NGG001220
Source: RNAcentral